RNAcentral lists this long non-coding RNA (8140 nucleotides) under Phaseolus vulgaris (common bean). Its description in RNAcentral is "long non-coding RNA (PVUL_LNC002794)". Lineage: Eukaryota; Viridiplantae; Streptophyta; Magnoliopsida; Fabales; Fabaceae. The record is from RNAcentral.
UUUUAUGGCGAUCAAAUUCGAAGCUGAUAUUCUUGCUUAUCUUGUUAAUUAUAUCUGUGUUUCUUGUUUUUACUGUAUGAGUUGAGUCGAGUCGAGUCUUGUGGAAAUGUUCUCCUAUGCAUGCUUCCGAUCUUUCAGGCAUGUUUAGGUUUUUACUUUGCUUCUUUUUUUGUUUGAACGAAAGAUGAAAUCAUUUCGAGUAGUAGUUGGUGUAUUUUUUGUAUAAUUGAGUGAUAUUGAAAAGAUCUCUGUACCAGUUCAAACUUUUAAUUGUUGCAUAUUCUUUUCUUUGGCUUUGUUAUUUUUCCCCCUAAACAAAGUCUUCCCAUUCUUGAUACAGGUUUUAAAAGAUGGCUGAUGCUGAGGACAUUCAACCUCUUGUUGUUGAUAAUGGAACGGGAAUGGUCAAGGUUAGAAUAUGUUUUGUUUUGCCAAUUGAUGAGUGCUUCUUGUGUUAAGGACAGGUUACUUUGUGCUUGCGAAGUAUUCAUUGCUAUAAUAUUAAUAUAAAUUUUUCUCCAAUGUUUGCAGGCUGGCUUUGCGGGUGAUGAUGCUCCUAGAGCCGUGUUCCCCAGUAUUAUUGGGCGACCGCGCCAUACUGGUGUAAUGGUUGGAAUGGGCCAGAAGGAUGCUUAUGUGGGUGAUGAAGCCCAAUCAAAACGAGGUAUACUCACCUUGAAGUAUCCUAUUGAGCAUGGCAUAGUCAGCAACUGGGAUGAUAUGGAGAAGAUUUGGCAUCACACGUUUUACAAUGAGCUUCGUGUUGCCCCUGAAGAACACCCUGUACUUCUCACUGAGGCACCACUCAAUCCCAAGGCCAACAGAGAGAAGAUGACCCAAAUUAUGUUUGAGACUUUCAACGUGCCUGCCAUGUAUGUGGCAAUUCAGGCUGUCUUGUCUUUGUAUGCCAGUGGACGUACUACAGGUUUGUUUCUGCAAUUGGUCUUGGAUUUACUAUUUACUAUGCUGUGAUCAUAUGACUUCAAUUGGAUUGGGUCAAGUUAUCAUGUGAUUAAAUGCUGUAAGUUGGCUAAGUUAUGAUUUUGUGAAUAAAAGGCACUGUUAAAGGUUUUAUGUGGCACAUAUAAGUUGGAAAAUUCAGAAGCUGGUGGAAGUUCUUCGAGAAUUGAUUUGUUUAUACUUUAAGCUUAGCCAAUGGUAUAUAGCAGUCAAUAUUCCAAAUGUAUUGGGUGGGAUGUACAUGCAUUUCUACACUAAUUACUCUUGAUCAGCAUUAUUUUCUUAUGGGUUUGUGUUGUUUUGUUGGUAUUAAACAGGUAUUGUGCUUGAUUCUGGUGAUGGUGUAAGCCACACGGUGCCCAUAUAUGAAGGGUAUGCUCUUCCUCAUGCAAUUCUUCGGUUGGAUCUUGCUGGCCGUGAUUUAACGGAGUACUUGGUCAAAAUUCUUACUGAGAGAGGAUACUCAUUCAGCACCUCUGCUGAAAAGGAAAUUGUCCGUGAUGUGAAGGAGAAAUUGGCGUAUGUGGCCCUUGAUUUUGAACAAGAAAUGGAGACUACCAAGAGUAGUUCUGCUGUGGAGAAAAGCUAUGAAUUGCCUGAUGGACAGGUCAUUACAAUAGGUUCUGAGAGAUUCCGUUGCCCAGAAGUACUGUUCCAGCCUUCUCUAAUUGGUAUGGAAGCUACUGGAAUUCAUGAAACGACAUACAACUCCAUCAUGAAAUGUGAUGUCGAUAUUAGGAAGGAUCUGUAUGGAAACAUUGUGCUUAGUGGUGGGUCUACUAUGUUUCCUGGAAUUGCUGAUCGUAUGAGCAAGGAAAUCAGUGCUCUAGCACCAAGCAGCAUGAAAAUCAAGGUGGUUGCACCUCCUGAGAGGAAGUACAGUGUCUGGAUUGGUGGUUCUAUCUUGGCAUCACUAAGUACCUUCCAACAGGUUUGUACCCAACUGAUCCCCUUCCCCUUUAAGACAAUUUACCAAUAAAAUGGCUUAGGAGGUAUUUAUAUAUUGGAAGUAUCGGGUGUUUAUUUUAUUCUCUUGUUAUGUAUGCAGAUGUGGAUCUCUAAGGGUGAAUAUGAUGAAUCUGGGCCAGCUAUAGUUCAUCGGAAGUGCUUCUAAGUUGGGUUAAGUUGAGCUGGAUGGUUAUCAAGCUCUUAAUUCUCCCAAUCCUGUGCCAUAUUUUCGUCAAGCUUGAUUGACUUGUUGGAUAUUUGAUGCUUUGGGUUUUUAAUAGGUAUAUCUAGUUAAUGAAUGGAUUUGUAAGUUGAGUUUGUUAUAUGUUUCCCCGUUAGGUCGUUGGAAGCCAGACUUUUUAUGCAGUUGGCGAUGGCAUUUGAACUUAGUAGGUUCUGCUUGGUUUGAUUUUCCUUUUAUUCUUUUUUUAUGAUGUGGCGAAAAAUUAGGUGCCUCGAGUUAGGAGGACGAUAAGUUUAAGCAUCCUUUUUCCUGGAGGGAUUUUUGAUUUAGUUUCUGUUGAUAUUAAUUAUAUGCUUAAUUGGUUAUGUUUUGCAGUACAAUCAGAAUGUUUUUUUAUUGUUUGAGGUGAUGAAUCCCUUAUAUACUCCAUUUGAUUAGUGUGAGCAGGAAUCGAGGUUAGUGUGUUUUUGUUCCUUGCUGAUGAUAUUCAAGAAUAAAGUUCUGGGUAUCUUGAUGUGGUUUUAAGGUCCGAUUAAUCAUUAGGGAUAAAUAACUCAUCUCACAACUUAUUUCGAUUUUUUGCCAUACGGGUUUACUCGAUCGUAAUAAUUAAAAUAGUGAAGUUUUUUAAUUGAAAUUGAAACCAACAUAAUACCAGUUUAGUACAAUUCAAUGGAAAUGUAAUUUUCUUUAUGUUUUUAUCUGUUUAUCGCACUGCUAUACUCAUUGCAUCUUGGUUUUCCACGUUUUCUAUGCCAAGAAAACGGGGAAUGCAUAGCCGAUUUGAGUUUAGGUUAAAAGUUACUCCGGCAUUAAGGUUUCUUCAAAUGCAAUUUAUACAAACUGAAAAACAGGUAUAAUUGAUUUUUUUACUAUAAAAAAAAUAAAAUUUAUCCCUUCUCGAUUUUUUUAGAUGUUUUUAUUGAUCAUGCCGAUAAAUCUACUAACACUUGUGAAUAGUGUAAUUUGAUGUUGAAAUUACAAUAUAUAAAUAAAUACGAACACUAUAUUUCAUAAACUGGUUUAUAACUUUAAAUUAAGAUCUAAAUUGUUUUGCAAGGUAUUAUCAUAAUCUAUUAUAACAAGUUUUUUAGAAUUGGAUAAAAAAUAAACCACCGUAGGUGAAUACCGAUAUUGACUAACAUAAUUAAGUAAGAAGAGUAAAAGAAAUUUUGAUUUUUUUGUUGGUUUUUUAUCCUGUUCCCAUAUCAAAAUCAAUAUAUAUUGAAGAUAAAGUAGCAAUAAUCUCUUAUCAUUUAAUUUAAGAGUCAAUGGUCAAGUAUAAUUUUAAUACAGUUUCAUCCUUUAAUCAUUCUAGAUAUUUUUUUUUUUUUUAAAUUAUCAGAAUUUCGAAUUUUAAUGCAUACAAUAUUAUCUUAAUUGUGAUGAUUAACCCUAACAAUCUUAUCUCAGUCAAUUUAAAAGUCAAUUUAAAAUUAAAAUAUCAAUACUGUAAAAAUAAAAAAUUACUUAAAAAAGCUCUUAUUCAUUUAACCUUUAAAUGGAUAAAUUUUCAUAACAUAAUAAUUAAAACUUGAAAUUGAUGAGAUGUUUGAUCUGAAUUAGUGAGUUAACUGCUAAUUAUAAUUGCGUGUUUAUAAUGAAUUAUUUUAAUAUUCAAAUCCUGUAAUUAUCUAUUCAUUAUGAAUGGUAAUUCUUACCUCUAGUAAUUUUUGUUUUAUUUUGCUUCUUGAUAGUGUGUGACCAACUACUUGUGUUGGGUAAGAAUAAAGAAGCAUGUAGUUUGGUAGAGAUAAUGAUUAGGAAGUGGAAUACAAGCUUGGAAUGAUCAAUCCAUUUCUUCUUUUGAUAUUACUGUUGUUAAUAUAGGCAGGUUUAGGAAGUUUUAAUACGUAUGUUAAUGUUUAUAUUAGCCGAGUCUACUUGUUGGUCUUGGAUUGUAUCUCAAUUGAGUUUUUGUUAUGCAAAUUUGCUUAGCAAAAACAAUUUACUCAAUAAAACUAAUGUAUUUAGUGAAAUACUAAUCUAGUUCCCAAAUUUAUGAAAUUAAAAUAUAUAAAUAAACAUUUUGAAAAAAGAGAAAUGGGGUGUAAAAAUAUAAAAGAAUUCUAUUGAGAUAAUUGAGAAAGUUUGACAAACAUAAUUUUUUCUCUAAUUUUUCAUAAUCUUUUUGUUAGUUUACUUCGUUAUUUUCGCGUAUUAUUAUUAAUUUAUCUUUAAUUAACAUUAAAUGUAUCUAAUUAUCAUGUAUUAGUUUUAAUUAUAUAUAUAUAUAUAUAUAUUCACAAUUUUUUUUAAUGAUUUAAUUUCUGUAUUUAAUGUUUUAUAUGAUUGAAAAAUCAUAGUUUAAAUCUUGAAUAUGUAAUUCAUUUUAAGUGUUCAUAUUUUUGUAUCAUAGAUUAAAUUACCUAUUUAUUAAAUAUAUUUCUAGUGUUAAUGUGAAUUCACAGUAGAUGAAUUUACAUUUAAGAAGAGAAUUUAGAAGUUAUUAUAAUCAAUAAUUAAUUAUAUUAAUUAAUGCAAUAAUAUAUAAAUAAAAAUUUAUGAAUAAGGGUGAUUAAGAUACAUUUCAAAAUAAAUGUUACGAUUUAUUAAAUUAAAAUUAUGAGUAAUGCAAAUACAUUUCAUGAAAAGAAUCAACUUUACAAGUAUCUUAAUUAAUUUUAAUUAUUUUAUUUUAACUAUUUUAUUGCAUAAAAGAUAAUGCUAAAAAUUUAAUAAAAAAACAGAUAAGACAUAUAUAUAUAUUUUAAUAUUUUAAUGAAAUUAUAUAUAAUAUGAAACUAAAUAUUUCCAAAUUAAUAAAAAAUAUGUACUUAAUUUUAAAUAUAUUAAAAUAUGAAAAGUCUAAUUUAAAUCAAUAAAUGCGUACCAUAUAUUUAAAGAAAAAGGAAAUUUCCAUAUUCUAAUAAGUUUUGAACAAUAACAAUUGUAAAUUAUUUAAAAAAAAGAGAUUUUUGUAGUUCAUAACUGUGUUUUUGAUUUGAUGAUAGAAAGAUAGUGAGUCCAAUUUUUUUCUAACAUUUUCCACAAUAUUUCAGCAUUUGAGCAUUUUUUUGUUUACUUCCCCUUUAUUCGGGACAGGUUUAUCCCGAAACCAAACGCACCCGGCAUGGUCCAAGUUGAAAGUUGAUUUCAUUUGAGUUUCAUUUCACAGUCAUUUACCUCAUUUACCUGUUUUCAUUGAAUAUAAAACUUCUUCUCUCUCUGCGCUCGUUCGCGAGACUCUGACCCUGCUGCUGUUGUUACUGCUUCUGUUGGUGCUACACCACCACCGAACCAAUUUCCCUGCAAACCACGCUUCCUUCUCAAAAAGGUGCGUUCCGAUCACAAUUUCCGCGUGUUUUCAAGUAAUUUUUUUGUGUUUACAUGCUCUUUUUUGUUACUGGAUCCAAACAUCACAUCUGAUGUAUUUCCUGGAUCGAAAUUUUGUGCGGUUUCGUUUUCUGUUUCUGAUCUGGAUCUACUUCCUUGCUUCAUCUUGUUGUGUGUGAGAUGCUUACUCGCUUCAGUUUUUGCUUAAUUUUGCCGUGAGAUGUUUUCUGAUGCAUCAGUUUUUGCUUAAUUUUGCUGUGAGAAGUUUUCUGAUGCAUCGGGUUGUUUAUAUGCGAUUAAUCGUUCAUCAUAUUGGAAGAUUAUAUUUUGCUUAGCUUGUUAAUUAUAUAUCCGUGUUUUGUUUUUAUCGCGUCUAGUGGAAAUGUUCAGGUGUGCAGUGCCGAGCUUGAGAUCAAAUUUUGGAUGCCAAAAUAAUUAAAAUUAUAGUAUAAGAAUUCAAUAUAUUUUGAUGAUAAUAUUAUCUCUUAUAAUUGAUUGUAAGCAUAUAAUAACAUUGUUUAAAUAUUGAUUUUUUUAAUUAUACGUUUCUACUUUAAUAAUAAUGCUAUUAAGUUUUUCUGAUCUUAUGAUUUUGUUCCCUUGUUUACUCUUCAAUAAAAAAAAAUUGGAAAAUCUAUGCAGCAAAAAAUGAUUUUUGAAUGAAUUUGAGGAAAUAAUAUUUUCUAAAUUAAAGAAAAAAAUGUUCUAGAAAAAAUGUGCACAAAAGCUCACAAUAAGAAUCCUCUAAUUUGAGCCAUAUUGUAUAACUUUUCUUAAAUAAGGGGUUAAAACUAAAAUCAGCUGGCCUUCAUUUUAUGUGUCUUAUUUGUCCCUUUUAUAGUUUUUUGUCACCUCGUCAAUAAAACUGUUAAUUUCAUUUAAUGUUCAUGUGAUAUAUUUAUUGACCUAACAAUAAAAUAUUAUUGAAGGAAAAGGGAAGAAAACACAGGAUGGAGAUAGGUGAUUUAAGUCCCUUUAUACCAUACUGAAUAUAUUAAAGUUAUAGAAAAAAUGGGUUGAAAAUGAAAAAUAGAGUCUUAUAUUAGAAAAAAACAAUUACUUAAUUAAACGGGGGUAAUGUUUAGAAACUGUCAAUAAAUCAACCAUAAGAGGGGAAAAAAUGGUUUUUCAAAAUGGAAAGUGCAUAUAAGAGUGUGAUCUUGUUCAGAACCACACUUAUCCAAUUUUCACCUAUUUGUCCUGGCUUGGCCCUGAAAGAGUUUGUUGCCUUCUCAGGUAAAUAUGUAAUGUAAUGAUAUAAUCCCUACCAAUUAACUCCUGACCAGAAGAGGUACAAGAAAUUCGGACCUAUGUCCUGUUUGCAAAGCUAGCAGGCAGUCCAUUAUCCAUACCUUUAGGGAAUGCCCUCAUACGAAGGCACUAUUUAUUGAUGAUAUUAUUAGAUCGCCGGGAUACUGUCUUUUUCCUGCCUUCUACGCACAAGUGGCUUGCUUCAGAUCUCCUUUUGAACAACCAUGCUCAGGAAAAAUGUACUGUCCAUUUUCGUGGAACUAUAGAUUUUAAUUGGUAAAAUAAUCUGAUGCGAAGUGGGAAAUCAAUUCAGUUAUUUUGUUAAAAGUCCUGCAGUUUUUAAGACAUUGAACCUAUGCAUAGUUUUUAUCCUGUCCUUCGGAACCAUCUUACUGAUGAUGAUCCUCAUUCCUUGUUUUCAACCGGGCUGGGUUAAGAUUAAUAGUGAUGGUGUAUUUUUCAUCUGUUGGUCAGAGAGGUUCUUGAAGGGUUGUAUUAAAAACCAUCUCGGGGAGUAUCUGGCUGGUUUCUCUAUCGCUAUUGGAUCCCUUCCAUUGCCCAUGCUGAACUUUGGGUAUUUUUACCUUGCAAUAGAGAUUGUGGUUUCAAGUUGCUUGCUGCAUUUGGAAUCUGAUUUCCAGGUAGCUAUUCACCUUCUCACCAAAGGUGCUCUUCCCUUCACCCGAUCCUUCCUUUAGUUCAAUCCGUCCUGAAAUUGGCAUCUCUAGUGGAUUCUUCUUCCUGGAAACAUGUUUGUAGAGAAUGCUACAGUGCAGGGGAUGCCUUUGUUAAACAUGCCCUAUCCAUGCAUAUGGAAGCUAGAGUUAAAAAGUUGUCAAUUAAUAAUAUAAAAGGAAAUAACUAAAUAUUACUUUUUUUUAAUGAUUAAAACUUUAUAAGCUAGUUAUUAUUUUUCAUAUUCUUUCAAUGAUUUACAUUCACUAAUAAUUGAGGAAUAAAUAAUUAAAGAAUAUUUGAAGUAAUUUUAGAAAACCUUCUUAGUAAUAAAUGGCAUUGUAAAUAAUUUUUAAUAAUUAUAUACAUAUAAAUGUUUUCUGAAAGAUAUAUUUUGUGUGUGUUGCUCCUGAUCUUUCGUGUCUAUUGAUGAUUUUCUCUGCAUAUGCUUGGGAUUACUUGUUUCCUUUCUGGUUUGAACAAAAAUUGAAACCAUUUUGACUAGUGGUUGAUGUAUUUUUACAUAAUUGAGCGAUAAUGAAAAGCCCUCUCUAGUAGCUCAAACUUUUGUUUGUUGCAUAUUCUUUUGUUUGUUUUUACCAUUUCCCCCCUAAACAAUAUCUUUCCCGAUCUUUGGUACAGGUUUUAAAAGAUGGCUGAUGCGGAGGACAUUCAACCUCUUGUUGUUGAUAAUGGAACUGGAAUGGUCAAGGUCAGAAUAUGUUUUGUACUGCCAAUUGAUUAGUGUUUCUUCUGCUAUUUUAAAAAUAGUUUGCUUUGUGCUUGCACAGUAUUCCUUGCUAUAACACUAAUUAUUUAUAUUUUCUCCAAUGUUUUUGCAGGCUG